AUGGUUUCUGCUGAAAAUAAACCAAAGAAGAAAAGAAAAGAUGAAAAGAAAAACCUUUGCAGUGCCUGGGAGGGCUUCAAUGCUGAUAAUGGCCCGAACGAUGAUAAUAUGUUUUAUGGAUGCCAGAAGCCUAAACAGCAGGUUAAGCAGAAAUGUAGAUAUCUGGAUGAGAAGAACAUUAUGUUGUCACAUCAUUUAUUAAGUGAGCCCUGGUCCACUAGCUCAGAGGGGAGUGAUGUGGCAGAAAAAUUACCCCCAGGAUGGGAUGCAUCUCAAGAUAAUACUCUCUCCACUAAAUCUCCUGUGGCCCUCCCAGCAGAAGCUUGUUCUUUGAGCCAAAGCACUUUUGACACUGACUGUUUCCCAACAAAUAACAAUAUGUUCACUAACUUGAUAAUCCAUAAACGGAAAAUCAUUAAUGGUCUCAGCCCAGUGCGCACAAGCAGCUUAGAACUGCAACGAACCCUGCCGCUGAUACGAUGGGCUCCUGCUACCUCUCAAGUGCAGAUGACCGAGGAGCCAGUGGCCUGGCGAAGUAAAGGAUUUGUUACAGUGAACCGUGAAGCAAGGCCUGCUGAACUAACACAAAUCUGGAAAAGGGCACCUAGCAAGAAGCUGGAGUGGUGCCAAGAGAGCCUGGCCAGGUUGGCUCAUCUGCAAGCUCAGUCACCCAACAAUGCCUCGUUUGUGGCCAGAACCAGACCAGUGAUCCGGAGAGCAGCCGGGCUAACUGUGGGUCAUAGGAGGGUGCAGGUGCAGGACAGUCAUGUGGAACAGAACUUCUGUCAGAAAGCAGAGACUAAACGUACAGGUCUGCCAAAUGGCAGCGGGUCAGCCCCACUAGCACAGACACAUAAACAAGGCCUUUGGAGCUCAACCCAAACAGAGGCAAAACACAGCAGAGAACUGGGGCAACAAGAUGGUGGUCAUUUUCAUGGGGAACAAGGAACCAUUUCCAUGGGCUGCUCAAAUUUGAGCAGGCUGUCGGACACACUGUCUUUGCUGGGAUACCGAGGGUACAGUGAGACCACCACCAUUCCCCGAGAUGUCACCUUAUUUCAUGUUCUCCAAGUUCUACAGAGCAAACCAGUCAAUUUUCAACAGGUCAAGGUCCAGAGACGCCUUGAGGCCCUUUAG
Pygocentrus nattereri (red-bellied piranha) is the source of this 1137-nucleotide long non-coding RNA. Lineage: Eukaryota; Metazoa; Chordata; Actinopteri; Characiformes; Serrasalmidae. The record is from Ensembl.